RNAcentral lists this long non-coding RNA (1476 nucleotides) under Falco tinnunculus (common kestrel). RNAcentral describes it as "lncRNA (ENSFTIG00000008110.1)". Lineage: Eukaryota; Metazoa; Chordata; Aves; Falconiformes; Falconidae. The record is from RNAcentral.
AUGUCUGGGGGCUCGGCAUGUUGGGGGGGUUGGCAGAGGGAUCACCCUGCUGGCACUUGCCCGGGCAGGGGACAGCUGCGUCCCCAUUGGGGCACUGCUGGGGACAUCGAGGCAGUUACGGCUGUCGCAGGGUCAGCCCCCCCCUCCCCAGGACCCACAGGGAUGGGGGAGCCCCUCGCAUCCCCCUGGGGCCAUGGGAGCCCCCGGCACCCCUCUGAGACGAGAAGAACACCUUCCUGGGAGACCUGGCACCCCCCCCCGGCAUUGCACCGGCACCCCCCCACCGGGGCUGCACCCAUGCUACGCUGCCCAUGCCGUGCCACCCAUGCCAUGCUAUGCCACCCAUGCCAUGUGCCACCCGUGCUGUGCCCACCGCGGGGCAAACGUGCGCUCUGCUCUGCUCUCUCACUCUCCCCCAGGCCAGUAGCUUCCAAACCCUCCUGCGGCAGCAGGCCCGGCUGGAGGUCCUGGCUAGAAGGGUCACCUUGCUGGAAGCCAUCAUCUGGCCAGAACCAGAGCCCGGCUCAGGCGGUGGCCCCCCCAGCACAGCGGCCCCCCGGCCACCCCGCGGCAAGCGUGGCAGCAGCCAACCCCCCUACCGCAUUGUGGCCCCCCACCGUCAGCCCACCGGCAAGCAGUGACAGAGCCUGGGGGGGUCACCCACUGUCACCCCCCACCCUGUGCCCACCACCGUGCUGGUAUGGGCAGCAGCAUCACCCCAUGGGGGGGCAGGACGAGGACGAGGGUCACCCACCGGUGUCCCCCUGGCCCCACAGGGCACUUGGUGCUAGCUGGUGGCACGGCACCAGCCCCCCUCCCCCACUCCGCUUUGUCCCCCAUUGCUGCUGUUGGAACCCCCUCCAGGGAGGAGCAAAGGGAUGCCAGGGACCCCCUCCCCGCCUUUCUGCCCCCCUCCCCCCAACGUGCAGCUGGGGGGUGCUUAAUUGCUCUGCUGGCCCAAGGCCCUGCAGCCACCCCUGCACUGGGGAAGGGGCUCUGGGAGGGGCUGGCAUUGGGGACCCCCCGAGUGGGGACCCCGCUGCACCGCCUGCUUUGUCCCACGGCUUUCAGACCCUCAAGGUCAUUAAAUGCCUCCUGACCCCAUGUCCUGUGGCGUCCCUUGGUGCCCUGGGGGACCUCCUUGGGUGACGCAGGCUCGUGGGGACGUGGGUGGCUGAAGGGGGUCCCCUCUACCCACAGUGGAUGGCUGGGGGUAGGGUCCCAUGGAGUGCCCCUGGGGCUGCCGAUGGGUGGGACGGGGCCAGGGGGAGAUGGGCUGUGGUGACCUGCAGGGAGACCAGGGGACACACAGCUGUGCCAGGACACCCAUGGGACACCUGCUCACCUUGUGCCACCCAUGGGAUACCCACACAUGCCACACCACCCAUGAGCACCCACCCACCCCGUGCCACCUACAGGACACCCGCCCACACUGUGCCACCCAUGGGAUGCCCACCCAUGCCACACCACCUAUGG